UGGGGAAUAUUGCACAAUGGGGGAAACCCUGAUGCAGCGACGCCGCGUGAGCGAAGAAGGUUUUCGAAUCGUAAAGCCCUGUCCUAUGAGAAGAUAAUGACGGUAUCAUAGGAGGAAGCCCCGGCUAAAUACGUGCCAGCAGCCGCGGUAAUACGUAUGGGGCGAGCGUUGUCCGGAAUUAUUGGGCGUAAAGGGUACGUAGGCGGUCUAUUAAGUCAGGUGUGAAAGCGUGAGGCUUAACCUCAUUAAGCACUUGAAACUGAUAGACUUGAGUGAAGGAGAGGAAAGUGGAAUUCCUAGUGUAGCGGUGAAAUGCGUAGAUAUUAGGAGGAAUACCGGUGGCGAAGGCGACUUUCUGGACUUUUACUGACGCUCAGGUACGAAAGCGUGGGGAGCAAACAGG
This 403-nucleotide ribosomal RNA is filed under the name Verrucomicrobiota bacterium. Its description in RNAcentral is "Verrucomicrobia bacterium partial 16S ribosomal RNA". It matches the Rfam family "Bacterial small subunit ribosomal RNA", at positions 355 to 776 of the family's 1533-position model. Lineage: Bacteria; Pseudomonadati; Verrucomicrobiota. The record is from RNAcentral.